RNAcentral lists this ribosomal RNA (248 nucleotides) under uncultured bacterium. Its description in RNAcentral is "partial small subunit ribosomal RNA". It matches the Rfam family "Bacterial small subunit ribosomal RNA", at positions 26 to 288 of the family's 1533-position model. The record is from RNAcentral.
AGAAUCAACGCUGGCGGCGUGCCUAACACAUGCAAGUCGAACGAGAAAGGGUAGCAAUACCUGAGUAAAGUGGCGCACGGGUGAGUAACACGUGACUAACCUACCCUGGAGUGGGGGAUAACUGAGGGAAACCUUAGCUAAUACCGCAUAAUACCUACGGGUCAAAGGAGCAAUUCGCUUUGGGAGGGGGUCGCGGCCGAUUAGUUAGUUGGCGGGGUAAUGGCCCACCAAGACUGUGAUCGGUAUCC